RNAcentral lists this ribosomal RNA (450 nucleotides) under uncultured Pseudomonas sp. Its description in RNAcentral is "bacterial SSU rRNA". It matches the Rfam family "Bacterial small subunit ribosomal RNA", at positions 933 to 1382 of the family's 1533-position model. The record is from RNAcentral. Lineage: Bacteria; Pseudomonadati; Pseudomonadota; Gammaproteobacteria; Pseudomonadales; Pseudomonadaceae.
UGGAGCAUGUGGUUUAAUUCGAAGCAACGCGAAGAACCUUACCAGGCCUUGACAUGCAGAGAACUUUCCAGAGAUGGAUUGGUGCCUUCGGGAACUCUGACACAGGUGCUGCAUGGCUGUCGUCAGCUCGUGUCGUGAGAUGUUGGGUUAAGUCCCGUAACGAGCGCAACCCUUGUCCUUAGUUACCAGCACGUUAUGGUGGGCACUCUAAGGAGACUGCCGGUGACAAACCGGAGGAAGGUGGGGAUGACGUCAAGUCGUCAUGGCCCUUACGGCCUGGGCUACACACGUGCUACAAUGGUCGGUACAAAGGGUUGCCAAGCCGCGAGGUGGAGCUAAUCCCAUAAAACCGAUCGUAGUCCGGAUCGCAGUCUGCAACUCGACUGCGUGAAGUCGGAAUCGCUAGUAAUCGUGAAUCAGAAUGUCACGGUGAAUACGUUCCCGGGCCUU